Molecule: transfer RNA, 65 nt
Filed under: Vespula vulgaris
Lineage: Eukaryota; Metazoa; Arthropoda; Insecta; Hymenoptera; Vespidae
Description: tRNA-Phe
Source: RNAcentral
AUUUAAAUAGCUUAAAUUUAGAGCAUAAUAUUGAAGAUAUUAAGGUAACAUAAUGUUUUUAAAUA